Molecule: ribosomal RNA, 465 nt
Filed under: uncultured bacterium
Lineage: Bacteria
Description: bacterial SSU rRNA
Rfam family: Bacterial small subunit ribosomal RNA
Source: RNAcentral
AAUCAACGCUGGCGGCGUGCCUCAGACAUGCAAGUCGAACGAUUAAAGCUCUCUUCGGAGAGUGCAUAGAGUGGCGCACGGGUGAGUAACACGUAAGUAAUCUACCUUCGAGUGGGGAAUAACGUCCGGAAACGGACGCUAAUACCGCAUAAUGCAGCGGCAUCGUAAGAUGACAGUUGUUAAAGAUUUAUCGCUCGAAGAGGAGCUUGCGGCAGAUUAGCUAGUUGGUAAGGUAAUGGCUUACCAAGGCUACGAUCUGUAACCGGUCUUAGAGGACGGUCGGUCACACUGACACUGAAUAACGGGUCAGACUCCUACGGGAGGCAGCAGUCGGGAAUUUUGGGCAAUGGGCGAAAGCCUGACCCAGCAACGCCGCGUGAAGGAUGAAGUAUUUCGGUAUGUAAACUUCGAAAGAAUGGGAAGAAUAAAUGACGGUACCAUUUAUAAGGUCCGGCUAACUACGUG